This 275-nucleotide long non-coding RNA is filed under the name Zostera marina. RNAcentral's name for it is "long non-coding RNA (ZMAR_LNC001881)". Lineage: Eukaryota; Viridiplantae; Streptophyta; Magnoliopsida; Alismatales; Zosteraceae. The record is from RNAcentral.
GGAGAAUUGCAUUUUCACCUUGAAUAUUAUUAUUAUUAUCUUUUGACACUUUAUUCAAGGUAUAAUAUUCCAAGGGGACAAAACACUAUUCAAGUUUGAAUUUAUACAAAGAUAAGAUUCUCCAACAAAGAUAAGAUUCUCCAACAAGGGGACAAAACACUAUCCAAGGAAAACACUAUUCAAAGACAAAGCUUGGAUUUAUGUGAGAAAUCAAGGAGCCAUCCAUUGAAGAUCCAAGGAUGGACAUUGAGUGGCCAAGGCUAUAAAUAGAAGGG